Long non-coding RNA from Dreissena polymorpha, 1393 nucleotides. RefSeq lists it as uncharacterized. The record is from RefSeq and is a predicted model, not a curated record. The transcript has 4 exons. NCBI's taxonomy places the organism in Eukaryota, Metazoa, Mollusca, Bivalvia, Myida, Dreissenidae.
GAAAAACCAAUGCCAGCAUGGCCAUAAAACACUACAUACAAAUCGAAAUCUAAAAAGCGCGGAACUUUCAUAUAUUUUCCGUCGGAGCAAUUAUUUUUCAACCCUGUAGAAAAAGCGGGCUCAAUUAAUCGCGCGGAACGUUAUUUAUCUACUCUGUACAAAUAGUAGUGUUUAAAAUCGCGCGGAGAUUGUAGAAUGCUAUUUUAAGAAGUCUAUUAAAGAGAGAAAAUCCAGUAAAUACCAGAUCCAAAAAGCGCGGAACACAAAUAUCGUCCGCGAAAAUUAAGCAUUGAAUUACUGUACAAAUCUCGGGUUGUUAGGUGUUAGAAUCCCUAGUUACCCGAAAAAUUUGAUUGGAUCCGAUACUUAGAAAUAACCAAUCAGAUACUUUGUAACAAAUGCAACACAAUCAGUGCGUUCAGUAAGUAUAACGUUUCAAGAUGGCGGAGCGAAUUGCAUGGUUAUUGUUUCUACUCGAUGGAUUCGCAGAUAAUUCGGAAAUAGAUCAGAUUGGGAUCAAUAACUGUAUUGCAUACGAUCAUUUACAUGUGUGUGUUGCCAGUAAUGGUUGAAGAUAUGCCAAACAAAUUGUGCCUCUCUAUACAGACAGAUUUCAGGUCUCAAUUUCGACUUCAAAGGUCAACAUAUCACUGAUAUCAGGAAUUCUGUACAACUGUGGAACCAUGUAUGGUACGUGACCGCACAAUGUUGGUUGGCAAAAGGAUAUUGGAAUAAGCAAAGGGACUCAACAUUACACAGUCAUUUCAACAUGUAGAGUCUUGUCAGCAAUGAUGGAGCAGUACUUCAGAUUUCCAGAAUCUCGUCAUGAGCUGAAGAUCAUUGCCUAUGGAUUUCAUGAAUGAUGUAGAAUGAUUGGACUGUUGAUGGAACCCACAGUGCAUGUCCUGCUUCAACAUCUGAGCAUAGGUCCUUGUUUAUCAGCAGUUUAGUUCUUCAAGCAGUCUGUGACAGUAACUUGAAAUGUUUGGACAUAUGACCUGGAUGGCCAAGUUCUGUGCAUGAUGCCCAUUUAAAUAGGAACGGCCCAGUGGCGCAUUAAAUGGACAUUUUUCGAAUGUUCUCGAGGAUUCAGCUUACCGCCUGACAAGAAAUCUUGCUUUUUGUUCAGUAUCGAGGCCAUGGACAUUUGUAUCAUUUGCAAAAGAUACUGCGAUAUUUGUGCCUUUGUUCAUGCUUUAUAGUUGAUUAACAAUUGGAAGCCAUAACCUGUUUUAUAGGAUGGUGUUAGUGGGACAAUGAAUUUUGUAAAGAUUUAAAGACUGGAAAAGAUAAUUAAAAGUCAAAAGAGUUCUGCUAUUGUUAAGCAUGCUUUAUUGAUUUGUAAUGUUAGAAAGAUAGCAUUAUUAACAGAAUAAAAUGUCCAUAAUUUGAA